AUGGGCGUGGGCGUGAUGGAGGGGAUGAAGCCGGUGGCAGCGAUGGUGGUGGUGCAGUUCGUGUUCGCCGGCGUCAACAUCUUCUACAAGCUGGCCGUGAGCGACGGCAUGGACAUGCGGGUCCUCGUCGCCUACCGCUUCCUCUUCGCCUCCGCCGUCCUCUCGCCCAUCGCAUACUUCGUCGAGAGGAAGAAGCGAACCAAGGUGACGUGGCGAGUCCUGCUGCUCUCCUUCGUCUGCGGGCUCUGUGGGGGCUCGCUGGCCCAGAACCUCUACAUCUCCGGCAUGAAGCUCACCUCCGCCACCUUCGCCUCCGCCAUGACCAACCUCAUCCCGGCCAUCACCUUCGUGCUCGCCGUGCUCUUCCGCUACGAGCGCCUCGCCAUCCGCACUCUCGCCGGCCUGGCCAAGGUCACUGGCACGCUGCUCGGCGUCGGCGGCGCCAUGCUGCUCACCUUCUACAAGGGCGCCCAGGUCACCCCCUGGCCACCCACCCACAUCAACCUCGCAGCCCAGCUCGCCGCCCGGCACCAACACGAGGAACAUGCCUCCUCCUCCCUUCACCCGGACAGCGGCAACCGCGCCAUGGGCUGCCUGCUCUGCACCGGCAGCUGCUUCUUCUACGCGCUCUGGCUCAUCCUGCAGGCCCGGCUCAGCCGGGAGUACCCCUUCCACUACUCCACCACGGCGCUCAUGUGUGGCAUGAGCGCGCUCCAGUCCGCCGCCUUUGCGCUCUGCUUCGACCGGGACCUCAUCCAGUGGCGCCUCUCCUCCGGUGUCCGCCUACUCGCCGUCCUCUACACCGGUGUGGUCGCCUCGGGGGUCAUGCUCGUGGUGCUCUCCUGGUGCGUCAAGCGCCGGGGCCCCCUCUUCGCGUCCGUCUUCAACCCCAUGAUGCUGGUGGUGGUGGCCGUGUUGAGCUCGCUCCUGCUCGGCGAGGAGCUGCACCUCGGCAGCGUGCUCGGCGCCGUGCUCAUCGUGCUGGGCCUCUACUCCGUGCUCUGGGGAAAAGGCCGCGAGGCCGUGGAGCACGAGCCGGCCAAGGCCCGCGCCGCUGGCACCGAGCUGCCGCACAUCGACAUCGUCGUGCAUCGCCAUGAUCCUCCUCCGACGCCGCAGCAGCAGAGCACGGAGCCGGGGCCGGCGCGGUAA
Molecule: ribosomal RNA, 1152 nt
Filed under: Triticum aestivum (bread wheat)
Lineage: Eukaryota; Viridiplantae; Streptophyta; Magnoliopsida; Poales; Poaceae
Description: partial small subunit ribosomal RNA
Source: RNAcentral